UGAGGAAUAUUGCGCAAUGGGGGCAACUCUGACGCAGCAACGCCGCGUGAGUGAGGAAGGUUUUCGGACCGUAAAGCUCUGUCGAGAGGGAAGAAAUGUAUCGUGGCUAAUAUCCAUGAUAUUUGACGGUACCGCUAAAUGAAGCACCGGCUAACUCCGUGCCAGCAGCCGCGGUAAUACGGGGGGUGCAAGCGUUGUUCGGAAUUAUUGGGCGUAACGAGCGUGUAGGCGGCUGAAUAAGUCAGAUGUGAAAUCCCUGGGCUUAACCCAGGAAGUGCAUUUGAAACUAUUCAGCUUUAGUAGGGGAGAGGAAGGUGGAAUUCCUGGUGUAGAGGUGAAAUUCGUAGAUAUCAGGAGGAACACCGGUAAGCCUGGAUCUUGAAGAGACACUCAUAGCACUGGCGAUUGGAGCUGCUGCAAAUCCAAGCGCGGAAGCUGCCGUUCUGAAAU
RNAcentral lists this ribosomal RNA (450 nucleotides) under uncultured prokaryote. RNAcentral describes it as "bacterial SSU rRNA". It matches the Rfam family "Bacterial small subunit ribosomal RNA", at positions 355 to 740 of the family's 1533-position model. The record is from RNAcentral.